Molecule: long non-coding RNA, 934 nt
Organism: Pogoniulus pusillus (Red-fronted tinkerbird)
Lineage: Eukaryota; Metazoa; Chordata; Aves; Piciformes; Lybiidae
Exons: 3
Source: RefSeq, a predicted model, not a curated record
CUGGCUGAGCUCAAAAGGCAGCUGCCCGUUGAGCAGCACUACUCUCUCCAAAAGUUUUAUCCUUCAUUUAAUCAACAGAUGGACGAGCUGCGUGGGUUUGGGCUUGGUUGGUGGGCAAAUCCAAGCCCUCCCCUCGCCCAAGCUGGCUUCGGGACCAGGGCGGUGUGACACACAGAUGGCAUUUGAGAGCAGCAGCAGCCAGACGAAGCUUGAGGCUGCCUCUCUAAGCUCGGCGUCCUCCACAGGCGGGCAGAGAAGCAGGCAGCAAAGUUACACGGCGAAUUCCUCCAGAUUCCCACCCGAAUCCCAUGCUGUCAGGAGAUGGGAGCCGGCUGUGACACCCCCCCCAAACACCAUCACCGGGGCUCCCCCACCUCCCCUUCGGCUGGCUGCAUCCAAACCAACUCUUCUCCCCGCCACCACAACCACCCCUUUCCAGGAGCAAAUCGCUCUGCAAGAAGGGGGGAGGAUGGAACCAUCCUCUGCUGCCAGCCAAAGCGGCUCCUUCCCUCCCCACCGCGAGCAACCAUCCCUCGGUACGGGCGCAAGAGCCGGGCGGCGAUGGGGGGGCUGGGAGGGGGCUGCUGCUGAGCAAAGCCGGUGUUUACACACAAACGCGAUCUAAUUAACGGAGCUGGAGCUGAAAGAACUCAUUUGCAUGCUGAAGAUUUUUCUCCUGCCUCCCCCCCUUCUCCUCUUUUUUCAUGCAAGAAGAAAAGCCACCGAGCGAGCUGCCUCGCCGAGGAUGCCUGAGAAACUCUGCAAUCCUCCUUCUUCUCCUUCUCCCCCCCUCACACCACACAACAUUGCUGAAUCUUCGCGCAAACAGCAAAAAGCAGACGCGGACCCCCCCACACACAAAACACCCCCUCCCCCGCCCGCAUCUCCAUCCGACAGCAAGAAAACUAAGUGCAGGCUGCGGGUCCUACCUUGG